UACGGGGGGAGCAAGCGUUGUUCGGAUUUACUGGGCGUAAAGGGCGCGUAGGCGGCCACCGCAAGUCGGUUGUGAAAUCUCCGGGCUUAACCCGGAAAGGUCAACUGAUACUGUGCGACUAGAGUGCAGAAGGGGCAACUGGAAUUCUCGGUGUAGCGGUGAAAUGCGUAGAUAUCGAGAGGAACACCUGCGGCGAAGGCGGGUUGCUGGGCUGACACUGACGCUGAUGCGCGAAAGCCAGGGGAGCGAACGGG
RNAcentral lists this ribosomal RNA (254 nucleotides) under uncultured bacterium. RNAcentral describes it as "partial 16S ribosomal RNA". It matches the Rfam family "Bacterial small subunit ribosomal RNA", at positions 524 to 776 of the family's 1533-position model. The record is from RNAcentral.